UUUACAUAAAUCUCAAAAUACUUUUAUGCAAAAGCAUCCCAAUGAGA
This 47-nucleotide ribosomal RNA is filed under the name Bacteroides fragilis str. DS-71. The record is from RNAcentral. Lineage: Bacteria; Pseudomonadati; Bacteroidota; Bacteroidia; Bacteroidales; Bacteroidaceae.